GUCUUCCUAGUAUAACUAAUUCAGAUGACUUCCAAUCAUCAAAUCUUAGACCCAUCUAAGGGAAGAUA
RNAcentral lists this transfer RNA (68 nucleotides) under Calotes mystaceus. RNAcentral describes it as "tRNA-Gly". Lineage: Eukaryota; Metazoa; Chordata; Lepidosauria; Squamata; Agamidae. The record is from RNAcentral.